This 497-nucleotide ribosomal RNA is filed under the name uncultured bacterium. RNAcentral's name for it is "partial 16S ribosomal RNA". It matches the Rfam family "Bacterial small subunit ribosomal RNA", at positions 28 to 507 of the family's 1533-position model. The record is from RNAcentral.
GAUGAACGCUGGCGGCGUGCCUAAUACAUGCAAGUCGAGCGAACGGACGAGUAUCUUUCUUCUCUGAUGUUAGCGGCGGACGGGUGAGUAACACGUGGAUAACCUACCUAUAAGACUGGGAUAACUUCGGGAACCCUGAGCUAAUACCGGAUAAUAUUUUUAACCGCAUGGUUCAUUACUUCAAGACGGUCUUGCUGUCUCUUAUAGAUUGAUACGCGCUUCAUUAGCUCGUUGGUAAGGGAACGGCUUACCACGGCAACGCUGAAUAGCCGACAUGAGCGGGUGAUCGGCCAAACUGGAAGGGAGACAGGGACCAGAGUCCUACGGGAGGCAGCAGUAGGGAAUCUGACGCAAUGAGCGAAAGCCUGACGGAGAAAAGCCGCGUGAGUGAUGAAGGUCUUCGGAUCGUAAAACUCUGUUAUGAGGGAAGAACAAAUGAGGAAGAAACUGAGCACGACUUGACGGUAAAUAAUAAGAAAGCGACGGCUAACGACGUG